UUGCCUUAAUUCGCGUUUCCGGCCGACGGGUUGGCGGAUCUGCAGCCAGCGUUCAUCUCAAACGCCGCCGUUUUGCCGUUGAAGCUCCGGCUGGCGAAUGUGGACGGUGAGCGGAGGAGGAGCAGGAGGAGUCUCGGUAACUCGAAUCGUCGCUAGUUAUGAGCCCCGGAGAAGGGGGUCGCCGCCGCUCACGGAGGAUGAAGGCAG
RNAcentral lists this long non-coding RNA (207 nucleotides) under Erythranthe guttata (spotted monkey flower). RNAcentral's name for it is "long non-coding RNA (EGUT_LNC002100)". The record is from RNAcentral. Lineage: Eukaryota; Viridiplantae; Streptophyta; Magnoliopsida; Lamiales; Phrymaceae.